RNAcentral lists this long non-coding RNA (1509 nucleotides) under Equus caballus (horse). RNAcentral describes it as "lncRNA (ENSECAG00000058767.1)". The record is from RNAcentral. Lineage: Eukaryota; Metazoa; Chordata; Mammalia; Perissodactyla; Equidae.
CUGCCCCCGACACCCUCCCCAGGGCCACCUGUCCUCUUCACAACCCCCACCACCCCCACUGAGCCCUGGCCUCCAACCCAUUUCCAUGUCCUCCUCUGAGUCCCAUUCCUUGCUGAACAAAGUGCUCAGUGAAAAAAAGGUGGAGGGUCUAGGGUGAAAGAAGAGAUCCAGGGUGUACCUGGUGCAGCCUUUUGGGAACAGAAACUUGCAAGUCUCUGUGGGCCUGCGCAAGCUAAGGCCUGGGCUCCUGGCCGACUUUUCUGCUGGUCCAGAAGACACCCACACGCCCAAACCUCGGGGAAUGCGGCUUGCUGACCUUGGCAGGAAGGAGGGCUGAGUCGGCCUUUUGCAUAACAUAAAUACUCAGCACAGCUGCCUCCGACCUGCCCACUUCUUGUCAAAUCCAAGAAGGAAGGGACCUCCUGGCCAAACCCUUUACCCCACUGCACCUCAGACCCCAAGGAACUUGGACUCUGCUCAAGUCAGUAAGUUGGAGCUCCCCACGUCCCCAAACUGGCCGCUCAUGGAGGAAAAACCUGGGGAGGAAGGACAGAGAGAAAACCCGAGGAGCUGCCUGUUAUAAUGGAAAAAUAAAACGUCUUCUUGGGAAGCUCCCUACAAACUCUGUUAGGGAAGCUCUGGUCCUUUCUGCCUUGGCUGAUCCAGAGGAGAAAAGGAAAGAAGAAAGAACAAAAUAAUUUAACUUGGCAAAAGAGCUCUUUCCCGGUGCUUUUCUCACCCAUCCUCACCAUGAACGCUGGACCCUGCAUCACCUUCCCAACCCCAUCCCUGGGGCUGAUCUUGACUCAGUCCUUUGUUCAAAAUGUACUGUCACCACCCCCAUCCUUACCACCAUUGGUAAUGCCCUCCCUUCCUCCCUUCUGUCUGUCUACGUCCCACACAUCCUUCUAGACCUGACUCGAGUCCCAGGACUUCCACGAAGCUUUCUCCCACUCACUCUGAUUUCUCUCUUCUUGGAACUCUUGACAUCCUGGAGUCAGUCCCACACACACUGUUAGCACUUAAUUUUUCUCUAAUACUUUCAUGAAAAUUAGCUCUGUCUUACCAGCUUCUUGUCAUCGCUUAGAGAGCACAGCCCAGUUGCAUACUGGGAUGGGCUCAGUAAGUACAGGUUGAUGGGUGGGUUCCUGGAAAAAUGGCAAGUUCUUCCAGCGUAUGAGGAUUGGCCACCAUGCUCAUCUUCCAGGGUCUACCACACCAUAGGGUAAAUUGGAAGGAGGGUCUUUGGUCCUGGAAUUUGGAGAUGAGGCUCCAACAGGAAGGAGAACUGAGCUGCUAUGAGUAAGCCUGGACUAGCCCAUGGAGGAUGAGACUUCAUGGAGCAGAGAUGGGCCAUCCCAGUUGAGGGCCCCUAAAGCAAUCAACCUCGAGCUGAUCUGCCAGCUGACUGCAGCUGCAUGAGUGACCCCAGGCAAGACCAGCAGAAGAACUGCCAACUGAACCCAACCCAGCUGGCUGACUCAGAAUCAUGAGGAAAUAAAAGGGUUG